GGCGUGUGAAUAAUUCGCCACUACUCCCCAAAUUAAAACUUAUGAAAUUUUUAAUGUUUGUUGCCGUUCUAAUUAGCGUUCCAAACACAAAAUCAGUCAAUAAUUAAAUAUCGUGCGCAGCCAACAUAUAUGUUUUAUAAAUUAUAACUUCAACAAAUCCAGUUACAACAUAAUGUGUGUUUAUAUUACGGUGAAUGUUGUGUUUAUAUAUUGACUUAUUUGUGCCGUUGAUUUUAAUAUUGGAAUACAUUGACCCAUCAUCAAACUUAAAGGUAAGGAGAAUAUUGUUUGUGUUAACAUGUUUUUAUGAGUUUUAUCGAUAUUUUAAUUUUUAAGCAAUGCAUUUGUAUGAAAUUGUAAAUGAAGUAUGUAGUUACUUAUUAUAAGUGUUGCAAAUAGAAUUUAUGAGUAAAAAUACAUUGUCUCGACGAAUAACCCCCAAAAAGUUUGUGGUCUUGUUAUGUCUAUGAUUGAUACUAUUGACAUCUAUUAUCUGUACACUUCAAAAUUGAACCUGUAUAAUUAUAACUGUUGUCUACCAAAUUGAAAUUAAAAAUGACUUCCAAACAAUGUGACCUACAAAAUUAUAAGAUACAAUAAGUAAAUUUGUUUCUGUUAUAUCAUUUAAAAUUCAGUGGGAAUAAGAAAAAAAUGACUAAAAACACAAUUAAGAUCCUUAUUUAAAAUAUUUUACAAUUGCGGUAAUGUGUUCGUAUGUGGCUAUGGGUGUUCUCUGAUAACAUUAAUUUAUUAUUUUGAUUGUUGAAUAUGUUUGAUAUAUUAUAGUACAAUGAAUAAGUAGAUUCUGUUAUAUUAUCGUUGAAUUGUUUCAACUGAAUUAGUAAAACUGAAGAAGUAUAUACCUACCUACUUAAUUGUCCUAAUAGUUGAAGAUAUAUAUAACGUUAAUUGUAUUUUACAGUACCUGUUCUACAAAAUAUUUGAUACAAUCCUUUGAACAACAUAAUAGUUUUUCCAUACUUCACCAUAAUACUUUGUAUGCAAGUUAUUAAACUAAUGAACGUGGUGAACCUUUUGUAUACAAACCAACUUUAAUAGAAUUGUGUAUUAUUUUAUAAUAUAUGAUUUCUAUUUUUUAAUAAUAGUUCUUUAAAUUACUUACUUAGGUAAUAUAAUUAAACUAAUAGGUAGACAAUUUGAGCUGUAUAUUAAUAAUUUAUAAUGCUUACCUCCAACCUAUAAAUUGCCUUCCACUCAUAUGAUAUUUAUUUAUUUUAUUAGGUAUAAAAUGUUAUACAUUUAUUGAAUUCAGGUACACUUUUUUUUUUGUUUGGUAUCCUUUUUAAAAGAGUCAUUUUAUUAGUACUUUUACAGUAAUUGAUAUACCAGCCAUAGAUAACACAAUUUGUAUGUUUAUCUUAAAAAUAUUAAUGAUUUGANGUGCUUAUUCAGUGUAUUUUCAUAUUAUAUUGAUUAAAUUGUGAUUUGAUAAAUAAUUUA
RNAcentral lists this long non-coding RNA (1461 nucleotides) under Cinara cedri. Lineage: Eukaryota; Metazoa; Arthropoda; Insecta; Hemiptera; Aphididae. The record is from RNAcentral.